This 368-nucleotide ribosomal RNA is filed under the name uncultured bacterium. RNAcentral's name for it is "bacterial SSU rRNA". It matches the Rfam family "Bacterial small subunit ribosomal RNA", at positions 29 to 424 of the family's 1533-position model. The record is from RNAcentral.
AACGAACGCUGGCGGCAUGCCUAACACAUGCAAGUCGAACGGGACCUUCGGGUCUAGUGGCGCACGGGUGCGUAACGCGUGGGGAUCUGCCCUUAGGUACGGAAUAACUCAGGGAAACUUGAGCUAAUACCGUAUAAUGACUUCGGUCCAAAGAUUUAUCGCCUAGGGAUGAACCCGCGUAGGAUUAGCUUGUUGGUGAGGUAAAGGCUCACCAAGGCGACGAUCCUUAGCUGGUCUGAGAGGAUGAUCAGCCACACUGGGACUGAGACACGGCCCAGACUCCUACGGGAGGCAGCAGUGGGGAAUAUUGGACAAUGGGCGAAAGCCUGAUCCAGCAAUGCCGCGUGAGUGAUGAAGGCCUUAGGGUU